CAAGCCUCCACCUGUUUUUUGUUAGUGAAGUUUUAUUAGAACACAGCUUCACACUUGUUUAUGUCUCGUCGAUGGCUGAGGCAGAGUUUAGUCACCGUUACAGACACCUUAUGACUACAAAGCUGCAAAUACUUACUAUUUGGUCCUUUAGAGAAAAAGUUUGCCAGUCCCUUAGUCCAGUGAGUAAGUUUAAUUAGAAUUUUUUUUUUCUUUCCAUAGGCUUCUUGUUUUUAUCUCACCUAAGAAAAUAAGCUGAUGCAAAUAAUCACAACACUCGUCAGCCCGUCUCCCAGAAUACAGCUGCCCCACACGUUUGUACCUUGUCCCACCCUCUGCACUGAGCGAAGAGGGAUCGUAAUGAAGGGCCAUCCUGAUUUUAUUGCC
RNAcentral lists this long non-coding RNA (384 nucleotides) under Mustela putorius furo (domestic ferret). RNAcentral describes it as "lncRNA (ENSMPUG00000028190.1)". Lineage: Eukaryota; Metazoa; Chordata; Mammalia; Carnivora; Mustelidae. The record is from RNAcentral.